CCUACGGGAGGCAGCAGUAAGGAAUAUUGGACAAUGCUCGCAAGAGUGAUCCAGCCAUGCCGCGUGCAGGAAGAAUGCCCUAUGGGUAGUAAACUGCUUUUGAACUAGAGAAAAUCCCAGUACGUGUACUGGGCUGAUAGUAUAGUUAGAAUAAGCAUCGGCUAACUUCGUGCCAGCAGCCGCGGUAAGACGAAGGAUGCAAGCGUUAUCCGGAUUCAUUGGGUUUAAAGGGAGCGUAGGUGGACUGAUAAGUCAGUGGUGAAAUCUCCGAGCUUAACUCGGAAAUUGCCAUUGAUACUGUUGGUCUUGAGUACAGUUGCUGUGGGCGGAAUAUGACAUGUAGUGGUAGAAAUACAUAGAGAUGUCAUAGAACACCGAUUGCGAAGGCAGCUCACAAAGCUGUAACUGACACUGAGGCUCGAAAGUGCGGGGAUCAAACAGGAUUAGAUACCCUGGUAGUCCGCACCGUAGACGAUNUAUACUCGCUGCGUACGGGACGUACGUUAGUGUGUA
This 513-nucleotide ribosomal RNA is filed under the name uncultured bacterium. RNAcentral describes it as "bacterial SSU rRNA". It matches the Rfam family "Bacterial small subunit ribosomal RNA", at positions 338 to 845 of the family's 1533-position model. The record is from RNAcentral.